UGAGGAAUAUUGGUCAAUGGGCGUAAGCCUGAACCAGCCAAGUAGCGUGAGGGAAGACUGCCCUAUGGGUUGUAAACCUCUUUUGUGCGGGGAUAAAGUGUGGGACGUGUCCCAUAUUGCAGGUACCGCACGAAUAAGGACCGGCUAAUUCCGUGCCAGCAGCCGCGGUAAUACGGAAGGUCCGGGCGUUAUCCGGAUUUAUUGGGUUUAAAGGGAGCGCAGGCCGUCCUUUAAGCGUGCUGUGAAAUGCCGCGGCUCAACCGUGGCACUGCAGCGCGAACUGGAGGACUUGAGUACGCACGAGGUAGGCGGAAUUCGUGGUGUAGCGGUGAAAUGCUUAGAUAUCACGAAGAACUCCGAUUGCGAAGGCAGCUUACCGGAGCGCAACUGACGCUGAGGCUCGAAAGCGCGGGUAUCGAACAGG
This 424-nucleotide ribosomal RNA is filed under the name uncultured Prevotella sp. RNAcentral's name for it is "bacterial SSU rRNA". It matches the Rfam family "Bacterial small subunit ribosomal RNA", at positions 355 to 776 of the family's 1533-position model. Lineage: Bacteria; Pseudomonadati; Bacteroidota; Bacteroidia; Bacteroidales; Prevotellaceae. The record is from RNAcentral.